GUAGGGGGCUAGCGUUGUCCGGAAUCAUUGGGCGUAAAGAGCGUGUAGGCGGCCCGGUAAGUCCGCUGUGAAAGUCGGGGGCUCAACCCUCGAAAGCCGGUGGAUACUGUCGGGCUAGAGUGCGGAAGAGGCGAGUGGAAUUCCUGGUGUAGCGGUGAAAUGCGCAGAUAUCAGGAGGAACACCGAUUGCGAAGGCAGCUCGCUGGGACGUAACUGACGCUGAGACGCGAAAGCGUGGGGAGCAAACAGGAUUAGAUACCCUGGUAGUCCACGCUGUAAACGAUGGGCACUAGGUGUGGGGGGUGUCGACUCCCUCCGUGCCGAAGCUAACGCAUUAAGUGCCCCGCCUGGGGAGUACGGCCGCAAGGCUAAA
Molecule: ribosomal RNA, 373 nt
Filed under: uncultured bacterium
Lineage: Bacteria
Description: bacterial SSU rRNA
Rfam family: Bacterial small subunit ribosomal RNA
Source: RNAcentral